UACGUAGGGUGCAAGCGUUAAUCGGAAUUACUGGGCGUAAAGCGUGCGCAGGCGGCUAUGCAAGACAGAUGUGAAAUCCCCGGGCUCAACCUGGGAAGCUGCAUUUGUGACUGCAUAGCUAGAGUACGGGUAGAGGGGGGGAUGGAAUUCCGCGUGUAGCAGUGAAAUGCGUAGAUAUGCGGAGGAACACCGAUGGCGAAGGCAAUCCCCUGGACCUGUACCUGACGCUGCAU
Molecule: ribosomal RNA, 233 nt
Filed under: uncultured bacterium
Lineage: Bacteria
Description: partial 16S ribosomal RNA
Rfam family: Bacterial small subunit ribosomal RNA
Source: RNAcentral